Molecule: ribosomal RNA, 403 nt
Filed under: uncultured bacterium
Lineage: Bacteria
Description: partial 16S ribosomal RNA
Rfam family: Bacterial small subunit ribosomal RNA
Source: RNAcentral
CCUACGGGUGGCAGCAGUAGGGAAUCUUCCACAAUGGACGAAAGUCUGAUGGAGCAACGCCGCGUGAGUGAUGAAGGGUUUCGGCUCGUAAAGCUCUGUUGGUAGUGAAGAAAGAUAGAGGUAGUAACUGGUCUUUAUUUGACGGUAAUUACUUAGAAAGUCCCGGCUAACUACGUGCCAGCAGCCGCGGUAAUACGUAGGUGGCAAGCGUUGUCCGGAUUUAUUGGGCGUAAAGCGAGUGCAGGCGGUUCAAUAAGUCUGAUGUGAAAGCCUUCGGCUCAAACGUAGAAUUGCAUCAGAAACUGUUAAUCUGGAGUGUAGAAGAGGAGAGUGGAACUCGAGGUGUAGGGGUGGAAUGCGUAGAGAUAUGGAAGAACACCAAUGGCGAAGGCGGCUCGCUAGA